Non-coding RNA from Paramisgurnus dabryanus, 763 nucleotides. NCBI's taxonomy places the organism in Eukaryota, Metazoa, Chordata, Actinopteri, Cypriniformes, Cobitidae. The record is from RefSeq and is a predicted model, not a curated record.
UGUAACCAUCUAAUCUUCUCCCUACUUUAAUAAUGACAAUAUAAAAGCAUGUAUACAUAAAUUGUCUCUCUUCAUCAGGAGCCGCGCUCCUAAUUUCCCGUAUGCAGGAAAACACUAUGACAUUCAAUUCAAUAAUGGCAAGCAAUAAUCAAGGAACCUCAAAGAAACACUGGUGGGUACCGAUCAUUGCGAUCAAUUUUUGGGGAUUAGAUUCUGGCCUGUCUUCAUCUUCAGACAGGAACCGCAAGAAUCCGUGACCCCCGGAUUUGAACUAUGGUCGGGGCCUACGCCAAAGAACUAUACUGUGUUACAUUCUAACCUUGGUUGCUAACUACUGUUAAAUAAACUCAUAUGUCAAGUCUUAACCUAUCUUCGAGUCUUUCUGGUAGAAAUGUUAGCUUUAGCGUAGCGUAGCGUAAGUUCUACCAGGAAACUCGAAUGUUACGUCAUUCAUGUCACAAGGCGCAAUCAAUCACCCCUGAUACUGAGAGUAUAUAAGCCUCGUACUCACCUGUCUUUGCGUUCGCAGAUACUGAUGCCAGCAUUAACAACCCACCCUCCCUACCACCAUCACCAGGUCGGUUCCGUCCAUACUCAAGGGGGAUUAGAUUCUGGCCUGUCUUCAUCUUCAGACAGGAACCGCAAGAAUCCGUGACCCCCGGAUUUGAACUAUGGUCGGGGCCUACGCCAAAGAACUAUACUGUGUUACAUUCUAACCUUGGUUGCUAACUACUGUUAAAUAAACUCAUAUGUCAAGUCUUAA